RNAcentral lists this long non-coding RNA (859 nucleotides) under Heterocephalus glaber (naked mole-rat). RNAcentral's name for it is "lncRNA (ENSHGLG00000034489.1)". Lineage: Eukaryota; Metazoa; Chordata; Mammalia; Rodentia; Bathyergidae. The record is from RNAcentral.
GGGGAGUGGAGAGGAGGGAAGUGGGUGGAAGGGGUAGCAGCUGCAGCCCUCAGCGUCCAGCUAUGGGUUAGGUUGCCAGGUUUGUGGUUACCUGCCCUGGCUCAUGCACACGCAGGACCUCAGACUUUAUGGUCCCAGUGCCCAUGUGCCCAGGACAAGGCCUCCACUUCCACAGGCAAAUCCACCCAGUUCCUGACAUUCCCGACAUGUGCAUGCAGAUGAGAUCACUGGCCUUUCAUGAGCCAGGCCCUGUCUGGCCCCAAGCUGCUCUGGCCCAUGGGAACCCUUGGCUUCAGGAUUCAGAGAAAAAGAAAUUUUCAGGAUGGACCAGUAAGAAACAUAAAGGGAUUUAUUAGGCAGAAUUUUAAAAGUACACACUGAAGGAAAGAGUUGGAGCCCUUAAGAGAGAAUUGCAUUAUCUUCUGGAACUGGGAACAAUUAUGUUAUCUCCUGAAGACAUGGAAACCUAUGGAAAAGAUGGCCCACCCCACCCCCCAGGAAGAUAAUAGCCCAUUUUACAGGAUAUGAAAGCCCAGCUACAGAAUAACUCCAGUUUGGCCUCCGGUCACAACUGAGACUUCAGGGAUCCAGUGACGCUGUGAUUCUCCAGGACAAGAAACAUCCUGGGAGAACAAACAUCUGCUCAGUUCCUCAUUGUUCUUGGACUGAUUAACAUCUUGUUUGCCGGCGAUGUACUGAACUCUCUGCAAGCCUUCCGUUACACCUUGUUUAUCCCAAUGUGAACUAUUGAACUCUCUGCAAGUCAUCUGUUACAUUUGUUUCUCCCGAUGUACUGAAUAAAAGGUGUGGUAAGCUGGGGGCUUUUGUCUUUGCUGCCCAGAGCAGCACUGAUCAGACC